This 2121-nucleotide long non-coding RNA is filed under the name Triticum aestivum (bread wheat). Its description in RNAcentral is "long non-coding RNA (TAES_LNC020083)". The record is from RNAcentral. Lineage: Eukaryota; Viridiplantae; Streptophyta; Magnoliopsida; Poales; Poaceae.
ACCUGGCAACCAAGGCACAAAUCGUAGAGAGAUAAAGCUGGCAACUAAUCUGUAUAAUCAUCUUCAAGGAAAGGCAAGAAAAUAGUGUGCAGCAGCAAAGCUUUACUUUUUUUAAGAAAGCAAAGCUUCAGCUAUUUCUUCAGCAAGGAACCAAAUUCAGAAAUCAAAGUCCAAACAGAGAAUAAAUGUUUCCCUAUAGAGCUUAUAGGCAAAGAGGUAAAAACAAGCAGAUCUAAAUACCAAAUGCUAAUGUAAUAUUGGUAUCCAUAAGCAGUAGCUUCAGAUCCUAAAAUUCAUCAGCACUGCAACCACAUAUUUUUCACUCUUCUGUCUAUUUCCCCUUUCAUAUCAUUCAACUCUUUGUUUAUUGGAUCUUCAUAAACACCAAAAAUCUCAAGGAUUUACAUGCACAUUAGAAAUUAAACUUGCCUUAGCAUUCUAUUUGUAAACUGCACCAAAAGAGAGAAGCCACAGGCAUCUAGGGCGAAGAUGAACUCGCACGUAUGUACACUGGGAAGCAUGCAUAUGAAAGUUAGAAGCAUACGUUUACCUAUGGUUGUAAUCACUAUGAAUAGAAUUAGCAACUACUAUUUAUUCGUUACUUGAAUGGAAUCAACAACGGCUUUCAUGCAUUGCAUAUACGACGGCUGGCCCUAUAUGCCUCCUCUACCUUAUCUCGUAACUACUACUAAUAAUUGUUGACUGGGCUCGGCUGCUGUCUAAACAAAGACAACUGCAUUCAAGCACAGGGCAGUACCUCCUAAGACUGAAGCUUUAAUUAACAGAAGCAAGCAUCUGCCAAUUUAUUGAAGGAAGAACACCACGCCUGAAACACAGCAGGCCUAUCAACUUAAUCCAGACAUAUAAAUCUGUGGUCACACCAGCACCAUCACACCUAAAAACUUAGGAAAAGUCUGUAGUCCAUGUCACAAUUAUAAAUACUAUGUUUUCACCUUAAAUUAUCAUAAAAGAGAAAUAAAAAUACAAGAGUAAUAUAAUGCAGACCAAUGCACAACACAUCAUGUGAAGAUUUCCAAAGAUAAGCAAUCAGAUCAGUUCAGUUGCACGCAACAUGUUCAUACAACUACUUCCACAAACAGUUCAAGUAGGCUUUCAUAAACUCACUUGCACCAAUCCAUCCCUUGCGAGUAAACAGCAACCGCUAUCCAAUCACUUAUCCAGAAUGACCCAAAGCACCAAACUGAACAUAACUCUAUGACGACACUGUUCUGAAAUAUUUUCCUUCUUCAAGCUAAUUAAUAAAUUAAUAAAUUCACCCAAACUAAAUUAUCUUCUUAGCUGCUUUAAUGGAGCAUAGUAAGCACUUGUCGUUGCUGUCUGGACCCUUUUUUAGGCAGUGAUGCAUGCGCAUUUCACACGAUAGCUUGCAUAACAUGCUCAGCUUGCUUAACCCAGGGAUAUAAUGACCACCAUGGUGGGCCCUGAGUAAUAGAAUAAUUGUACGAUCCCAUGUGUUAGUAACCUGAUCUGCAACCCAAACGCACAAAUAGACAUGCAAGGAGAAGCAGAAUGACACCUACCAAUAGAUACGAUGGUGUGUUAUAGAAUUUAAAGGCAAAAGAACCAAAUGGAUUCAUCUCAAGCAAGGCAGCAGGAAUGCAACUAACCCUCGCGUCUUUCUUGCAGCACGAAGAGAACUUUAGAGAAGCAAAGUAAAUGCAAAAUAGGGACUCGGUGGGCUAAAUCUGACAGAUGGCAUCAACCAAGAUAUUAAGAGGAGCUAACAUGUUAUUAGCCUCCUUGCAACUGUUCAGAGAUCACCGUCAUACUGCACUUGCUUAGCUGAACGAUCCUCCCACCUGCCAUAAGGGGAGCUUACCAAAGUAAGCUGACUAAAAAUUAAGAAACAAGAACAAGCGGAACAUCGCAAGGCAAAACACUCAAAGCACCAACCUGCUCAUUGUCGCUUGAGCCCCAGUGCACUGUCACAAACAUAGGCGGUUCUAGAGAAGAAGAAGAAAUAACAUUGUAAGAAUCGUGAGGGGCCGGCUCGAGGUGUGUGGUGAGGUCGGAUCAGGGUACCUGAGGUGUCCUGCACUUGCUUCAUCAGACCCUGGGAUUCCAUGGAACAAUCGUAUCAAAACAAGUAAACCAGGUCGG